GACGUGGGGGGCCAGCGUUGCUCGGAAUUACUGGGUGUAAAGGGUCAGUAGGCGGUGUGGCAAGUCGGGAGUGAAAUCUCUGGGCUUAACUCAGAGACUGCUUCCGAAACUGCUGUGCUUGAGUAUGGGAGAGGCGCGUGGAAUUGCAGGUGUAGCGGUGAAAUGCGUAGAUAUCUGCAGGAACACCCGUGGCGAAAGCGGCUCACUGGACCAUUACUGACGCUGAUGCACGAAAGCUAGGGGAGCAAACAGG
Molecule: ribosomal RNA, 253 nt
Filed under: uncultured prokaryote
Description: partial 16S ribosomal RNA
Rfam family: Bacterial small subunit ribosomal RNA
Source: RNAcentral